This 262-nucleotide long non-coding RNA is filed under the name Linum usitatissimum (flax). RNAcentral's name for it is "long non-coding RNA (LUSI_LNC008188)". The record is from RNAcentral. Lineage: Eukaryota; Viridiplantae; Streptophyta; Magnoliopsida; Malpighiales; Linaceae.
AAUUAGGAAAAGAGCCCUCGAAUUGGUGUACCUCCUGGUGAAUGAGAGCAAUGUAAAACCAUUAACUAAAGAAUUAACUGAAUACCUGGAAGUUAGCGAUCAAGAUUUUAAAGCAGAUCUGACUGCCAAAAUUUGAUCAAUAAUGACUGCCAAAAUUUGCUCCAUCAUUGAAAAGUAAGUUAUCGUGUGCAUGAAUGUGGUUACUUUCUUGGUUCUUUCAGAAAUUUGUGCUGAGCUUUAAGCACUGCCCCCAGCUCCAAGU